GAUGAACGCUAGCGGCAGGCUUAACACAUGCAAGUCGAGGGGCAGCAGGGACUUCGGUUCGCUGGCGACCGGCAAACGGGUGCGGAACACGUACACAAUCUACCUUUAUCUGGGGUAUAGCCCGAAGAAAUUCGGAUUAAUCCCCCAUAAUAUAUUUGAGUGGCAUCACUUAGAUAUUAAAACUCCGGUGGAUAAAGAUGAGUGUGCGUCCCAUUAGCUAGUUGGUAGGGUAACGGCCUACCAAGGCAACGAUGGGUAGCUGGUGUGAGAGCACGACCAGCCACACGGGCACUGAGACACGGGCCCGACUCCUACGGGAGGCAGCAGUGAGGAAUAUUGGUCAAUGGACGCAAGUCUGAACCAGCCAUGCCGCGUGAGGGAUGAAGGCCUUCUGGGGUUGUAAAACUUCUUUUAUUGGGGGAAGAAAAUUACGGUUUCUACUGUAACCGACGGUACCCAAGGAAUAAGCACCGGCUAACUCCGUGCCAGCAGCCGCGGUAAU
This 502-nucleotide ribosomal RNA is filed under the name uncultured bacterium. RNAcentral describes it as "bacterial SSU rRNA". It matches the Rfam family "Bacterial small subunit ribosomal RNA", at positions 28 to 524 of the family's 1533-position model. The record is from RNAcentral.